This 912-nucleotide ribosomal RNA is filed under the name Paramassariosphaeria anthostomoides. RNAcentral describes it as "LSU rRNA". It matches the Rfam family "Eukaryotic large subunit ribosomal RNA", at positions 38 to 965 of the family's 3401-position model. The record is from RNAcentral. Lineage: Eukaryota; Fungi; Ascomycota; Dothideomycetes; Pleosporales; Didymosphaeriaceae.
GCAUAUCAAUAAGCGGAGGAAAAGAAACCCAACAGGGAUUGCCCUAGUAACGGCGAGUGAAGCGGCAACAGCUCAAAUUUGAAAUCUGGCCCUCUUUGGGGGUCCGAGUUGUAAUUUGCAGAGGGUGCUUUGGCAUUGGCGGCGGUCUAAGUUCCUUGGAACAGGACAUCGCAGAGGGUGAGAAUCCCGUACGUGGGCGCCUGCCUUUGCCGUGUAAAGCCCCUUCGACGAGUCGAGUUGUUUGGGAAUGCAGCUCUAAAUGGGAGGUAAAUUUCUUCUAAAGCUAAAUACCGGCCAGAGACCGAUAGCGCACAAGUAGAGUGAUCGAAAGAUGAAAAGUACUUUGGAAAGAGAGUCAAACAGCACGUGAAAUUGUUAAUAGGGAAGCGCUUGCAGCCAGACUUGCCCGCAGUUGCUCACCCAGGCUCCGGCCCGGGGCACUCUUCUGCGGGCAGGCCAGCAUCAGUUUGGGCGGUCGGAUAAAGGCCUCUGUCACGUAUCUCCCUCCGGGGUGACCUUAUAGGGGAGGCGUAAUGCGACCAGCCCGGACUGAGGUCCGCGCUUCUGCUAGGAUGCUGGCGUAAUGGCUGUAAGCGGCCCGUCUUGAAACACGGACCAAGGAGUCUAACAUCUAUGCGAGUGUUUGGGUGUCAAGCCCGGGCGCGUAAUGAAAGUGAACGGAGGUGGGAACCCCUCGGGGUGCACCAUCGACCGAUCCUGAUGUCUUCGGAUGGAUUUGAGUAAGAGCAUAGCUGUUGGGACCCGAAAGAUGGUGAACUAUGCUUGAAUAGGGUGAAGCCAGAGGAAACUCUGGUGGAGGCUCGCAGCGGUUCUGACGUGCAAAUCGAUCGUCAAAUUUGGGCAUAGGGGCGAAAGACUAAUCGAAUCAUCUAGUAGCUGGGUUCUGCCGAG